Molecule: ribosomal RNA, 250 nt
Filed under: uncultured archaeon
Lineage: Archaea
Description: partial 16S ribosomal RNA
Rfam family: Bacterial small subunit ribosomal RNA
Source: RNAcentral
UACGUAGGGGGCGAGCGUUGUCCGGAUUUAUUGGGCGUAAAGAGCUCGUAGGCGGUUCGGUAAGUCGGAUGUGAAAUCUCCACGCUCAACGUGGAGAGGCCAUUCGAUACUGCCGUGACUCGAGUCCGGUAGGGGAGUGUGGAAUUCCCGGUGUAGCGGUGAAAUGCGCAGAGAUCGGGAGGAACACCCGUAGCGAAGGCGGCACUCUGGGCCGGUACUGACGCUGAGGAGCGAAAGCGUGGGGAGCAAA